AGGCCAGAGGCUAAGCCGAAACCGUCCGGGGAAGCGGGCGCGAGUUUUCCGACUUAGCCUUUGGUGC
RNAcentral lists this microRNA precursor (67 nucleotides) under Human betaherpesvirus 5. RNAcentral describes it as "microRNA hcmv-mir-UL69 precursor". Its record names the gene hcmv-mir-UL69. The record is from miRBase by way of RNAcentral. Lineage: Duplodnaviria; Heunggongvirae; Peploviricota; Herviviricetes; Herpesvirales; Orthoherpesviridae.